CAAGACCGUGUUUAAUCCUAUCAUAUUCUAAAAAAAAUUGUAUUUAAAGUGAUUUUUGAAUAUAUUUUUUUUCCUAGUGUACUUGGCUUGACUUGUUGUGAUCAUUUGGUUGCUACACAGAUUGCUCGAGGAAAACGUCCUAGUAUCAGACAAAAUGUUGUAUCAACUCGGUUGAUUGUUUCUCGAGCUGCUCCUCUUUGACUCCUCUAGGGACAAUCAACCUAGUUGAUACAACGUUGUUGAUAAUGUUUGCAACAUUUCUGAUACUAGGAUUGUUUCGUCAAACAACUUCUGGAGCAACCAAAUGAUCACUACAUGUCAAGCCACACUAGGUAACAUAAUUUCAAAAAUUAUUAUAGAUACAAUUUCUUUUUUAGAAUUUGAAAUGCUAAAUCUCACACCAAUUUUACCAAAUCAUGCAUAUAACUAAAAAUAUUUCUCUCUCUAAAAUCUUCUCCUUCCCCACUCUUCUUCUUUUUUCCUAUUUUUUUCAGAAAAUCACACACUAAAAACGUCCCAGCAUUCCAAGUACGAAUUUGACAAAAAUCUUCACAUGUUCAAACUAAAAUAAUGUUGGAAUUUUUUGAGGAAAAAAUUCAAAUUGAUAUGAAUUUGAAUAAUUAAAAAGGUUUAAUGAAAUUGAAUAAAUAUUAAAUAAAACUGAACUCAUUUUCUAUGAUUAUUCGUGUAAAAAAUUAAUAAAUUUUUAGUGACUUGGAUAAAAUUAUUUUAGAGAACAAAGUAAUAUUAAAGCACUUAGUGCACCUUUAGCUUUAUACUCAUAGCUAACAUUUGUGUCUAGCUAUUAUCAUUUCUCAAUAUCAAAGCAAUAUGAAAGCAAGCAUUAAACAACUAAGUCACCGUUAGCUUUGUACUCAGGGGCGUACCCAUGCCUGUGGCUGGGGUGGCCCCCGUCC
This 917-nucleotide long non-coding RNA is filed under the name Erythranthe guttata (spotted monkey flower). RNAcentral's name for it is "long non-coding RNA (EGUT_LNC003121)". The record is from RNAcentral. Lineage: Eukaryota; Viridiplantae; Streptophyta; Magnoliopsida; Lamiales; Phrymaceae.